RNAcentral lists this ribosomal RNA (268 nucleotides) under Gambierdiscus australes. Its description in RNAcentral is "partial Bacterial large subunit ribosomal RNA". It matches the Rfam family "Bacterial large subunit ribosomal RNA", at positions 540 to 810 of the family's 2925-position model. Lineage: Eukaryota; Dinophyceae; Gonyaulacales; Pyrocystaceae. The record is from RNAcentral.
GAAAUAGAACCUGAAACCGUAUACGUACAAGCAGUGGGAGCCACUUCGUGUGGUGACUGCGUACCUUUUGUAUAAUGGGUCAGCGACUUAUGUUCAGUGGCGAGGUUAACCGUUUAGGGGAGCCGUAGGGAAACCGAGUCUGAAUAGGGCGAUUUAGUCGCUGGGCAUAGACCCGAAACCGGGCGAUCUAUCCAUGAGCAGGUUGAAGGUGCCGUAACAGGCACUGGAGGACCGAACCCACUGUCUUUGAAAAGCCAGGGGAUGACUU